AGCCACAUUUUUAUCUCCUGAGAUUCUUGAAUUUAGUGUCCCCGGUCGCUUUCUUCUGAAUCAGGACUCUGCCUAAACGAGUGCGGACACAGAGAGCAUGGAAAUAAAAUGAUAGGCUGGCGGGUGGGCAAGGGGAUGCAGGUCGGCUUGUUGACCCUGCAAUGGCCCUGCCUCCCAGCCCCGUACAGCCUGCUGCUAAUUCUCUCUGACUGAAACAGCCGUGACACCACACCCAAAGGAUGGAGGCGAGGAUAAAUGAGUCUGCGUGCUGUGUCUUUAAUGCUGUAACAAGCCACUAAACAUGUUGGUCGUUACAACUGCAGAUACACAGCUCCUACCUGAUGGCAGAUUAUCUACAAUGUAACUCUCCUCUCGGAUGGACAGGGAGAGACCCGGACUGAGUCUCGAAGCAUGGCUACUGCUUCAGAGAGAAGAGUCACUUCAAAUUGUGAUGCCCGUGGCAGAAGCAUGUCACCAGCACUUUCCCUCAGGCCUGGGAGGGAAGCCACACAGGAAGGCCAACCGUUAUCUCUCUGCUGUCCACACUGGUAUUAGAGUGUGCUGACGUGAGCAGCACCAGCUUGAUCAAAGGACAGCCACUUCUUUGCUCUUCGUCUGUUUCUUCAGCCAUUACUUUCCACUCGACUCCAGCCCGCGAUAAAUGGUCACAAACGAGGAAAGCCGGUUCCUUCUGCACACGUUCCGUAUCUUUUAAGUCAACCUUCUUCUUUGGACCUUGUCAAGAACUUUGUGUAUUCAAUUUGGGAAUUCAUGCACUAAUUAAGGCAUACUCCAUUGUGGUGGUAUUGUGUUCCCCAAAAUAUUGUGUACCUUAAUAAAUUUA
Non-coding RNA from Peromyscus maniculatus bairdii (prairie deer mouse), 844 nucleotides. NCBI's taxonomy places the organism in Eukaryota, Metazoa, Chordata, Mammalia, Rodentia, Cricetidae. The record is from RefSeq and is a predicted model, not a curated record.